RNAcentral lists this ribosomal RNA (441 nucleotides) under uncultured bacterium. RNAcentral describes it as "partial 16S ribosomal RNA". It matches the Rfam family "Bacterial small subunit ribosomal RNA", at positions 338 to 795 of the family's 1533-position model. The record is from RNAcentral.
CCUACGGGAGUCAGCAGUGGGGGAUAUUGCACAAUGGGGGAAACCCUGAUGCAGCGACGCCGCGUGGGUGAAGAAGUAUUUCGGUAUGUAAAGCCCUAUCAGCAGGGAAGAAAGAAGACGGUACCUGACUAAGAAGCCCCGUCUAACUACGUGCCAGCAGCCGCGGUAAUACGUAGGGGGCGAGCGUUAUCCGGAUUCACUGGGGGUAAAGGGAGCGUAGACGGCCGUGCAAGCCAGGAGUGAAAGCCCGGGGCCCAACCCCGGGCCUGCUCUUGGAACUGGGCGGCUGGAGUGCGGGAGGGGCAGGCGGAAUUCCUGGUGUAGCGGUGAAAUGCGUAGAUAUCAGGAGGAACACCGGCGGCGAAGGCGGCCUGCUGGACCGCGACUGACGUUGAGGCUCGAAAGCGUGGGGAGCGAACAGGAUUAGAUACCCGGGUAGUC